CCCACAUAGACAGACACACACACACACACACACACACACACACAGACAGACGGCCUGAUGAACGUCAAUUCCACGCAAAUGCUGAAAACUACUUAAAGCGAUUCAUUAUAACGUCCAUUUCUAGGCGACCGUGAAUGUUCAGAAGUUCCGUUAGAACGCUACAGUUACAUGAAAGAAAACAAGUUCGAUUGAACUCGCAGCUGCAGAGUUUGGAGUCCGGGCACCGUGUGUGUGUGUGUGUGUGUGUGUGUGUCGCGGAAUUUUCACAAAUUUUCAAAAUAAUAACCUAGAACGAUAAGUAAUUAAAUGGUUCUGAAUAACGUCAAGAGAUGUGCACAGCACAGAUGUUGCAGGACAUGGAUCAGCGGCUGCAGGAGGAAGGGUUGGGUGCCUCGGCCUCCAGCGAUGAGCGUCUGUCUCUGCUGUGGCAGCUUUACACGAAAAGUGAAAGUACCGUGAGAUCCCUCAACCAGCAGAUACAAGAUCUGCAGAAGGAACGUGUUGCUGAGAUUGAAAAGGUGAGUACGUCUAAAGAAAAAACCUGGAGACUCAUCACUUGUUUGGUUACAAGGAUCUAUACAAGUGACGUUUGGUCUGUGGAACACAAAAGUAGAUGUUUUUGAUAGAUAAGCAAUGCAAGGCAUUGAAGAAUAUACACAAAAGGGAAACUGCAGUCUUGUCCUUCUUCGAUCUCAGGUUCAGCAAUAUGUCAAUCACAUUAAGAGUCUCACAAAGACCCGAGACUCUGUGGCUUUACAUCUCGAGCAAGAAAACAAAACGUUCCAUGCAACUCUGGAUGACAUCCAUCGGCAACAAGGUGCAUUUCUGUCUGAUCUCUCCUCCAUCAGACUCGCUCUUCACCACGCAUGACAUUUGAAUUUAUGCUUACAGAAGCACAGAGGAGUGAGAUCUCCGAGAUGUUACUUCAGGAAGGUCUGGCUGAUAUUAUUCCCAUCAGCUUGAGUGAACAGGUGGCUUACCUCCUCGCAGACAGAGCUUCGCUGCUGGAGAAAAUACAAAGUCAGGAGAAUGUGGAUGUGAAGACCACUGAGGAUCCUGAUGUCCAAAAGGAGGAUUGUAGAGGGAAUGUGGUCAAAGUGGCACCACCACACAUUCAGAGCCCUUGGAAGAGGCUCCUAGGACUCAGAAAGGCUGCUCAGAGUAAACCGAAAUUACUGCCUGCAGAUGACCUGCAGUGCAGUAGUGAUGACAAGUUGAAGGGACGGACGUUGCAGGAACUGGAGCGAGAUGUAGAAGAGGCGUCUGCUCGACUCACCAUGGCCCACAAAGAGAUCCGCAGGCUCACGGAUGAGCUGGAGUCGGCUCACCUGACACAAAAGGCUUAUGAACCAGAGCUGCAAGAAGCUCAAAUGGAAGUUGCACACCUGCGUCACGAAGUGGAGAAACUGAAAUGCUGUGAAGUUGCUGAAUUACGAAAAAUAAAAGAGAUUAACGAGAAACAGGAAGAAGAGCUGUGCUACCUUAGGGAGACUGUGAAGAGGCUACAGGCACAGGGUGUACAGUUGCUCGAAAUGACAGAAGCCCCUAACAGAACCGUCACUCCAUCCAAAGACAAGAAGCCACAGGAAGAGGAUAUCCAUAAACGGUUCGGCCACAGUUUGACUGCAUACAGUAUAUCAGAUAAACAUACGCUGA
Sinocyclocheilus grahami is the source of this 1656-nucleotide long non-coding RNA. Ensembl annotates it as cingulin-like. Lineage: Eukaryota; Metazoa; Chordata; Actinopteri; Cypriniformes; Cyprinidae. The record is from Ensembl.